AUAAAAAAAAUUAUUUUUUUUUAUUAUGAAAUUAGUCUUUAUUUUAGUAUUUAAUAUGGAAAAAGUUUAUUUAUUAUAGUUUAUUAGUAAUGUGAUUGAAUUUUGAAAUAUUAUUUAUAUUUGAAAAAGAAGAAUUUUAUUUUCGUACCUUGUGUAUCAGGGUUGAUUAAAAAUUGAUUUUUUAUAUAGUUUUCCCGAAUCAGAAAGAGCUAAUUUGAUAUUGAUUUAGUUGUAUAAUAAACUUUUUUAAUAUUUAAUUUGAAAUGAAACGUUAUUCGUUUUCUGAUAUAUCUGGUUUUUCAAGAAAUGAAUUUAAUUCAAUUGUUAAUUAAUUAAUCUUCUAUUGUUGAUUUUAUUUUUGUUAACAUUAAAUAUUAGGUGGGAUGAGCUUCUUAUUAUUUGUUUAAAAAUUUUUUAGUUAUUGUUGAUAAGUAUAAUUAGAAUUGUUAAUCUUUAGAAUAAUUUUAUAAUUGAUUUUUUUAUAUAAAUUAUUUUUAUUUUGUUUAAAUUUGAUAUUGAAAUUUUUUCAUUAAUUUUAAUAGGAAAUUAAUAAUGAUUAAAUUAGUAAAAUUUUAUUUAUUUUGUUAAUUGAUUUUGAGGUUAAGUUAAUGAAUUCGGCAAAUUUAUUUUCCGCCUGUUUAUUAAAAACAUGUCCUUUUGAAUAUAAUUUAAGGUCUAAUCUGCUCAAUGAGGAGUUAAAUUGCCGCGGUAUUUUGACCGUGCGAAGGUAGCAUAAUAAUUAGUUUCUUUAUUGGAAGCUGGAAUGAAUGAUUGGACGAGAAAAUUACUGUAUCAAUUUAACUUUUUUUUGAAUUUAACUUUUGAGUUAAAAGGCUCAAAUUUAAUUUAAAGACGAGAAGACCCUAUAGAGUUUAACAUUAAUAUUUAUUAGAAGUUUUUGGUAUUUAUUGUUUUGAUUAUUAUUUUUGUUUAGUUGGGGUGACUAGAAGAUUAAAUUAACUCUUCUAAUUAUUUUGUUACUUAUUAGUAAUUAUUGAAUCUGGAAUUUUCAAGUUUAAUAUAAAUUACCUUAGGGAUAACAGCGUAAUUUCUCUUUAGAGUUCUUAUUGGAAGGGGAGUUUGCGACCUCGAUGUUGGAUUAAAAUUAAUAUUGGGUGCAGAAGCUUGAUUAUUAAGUCUGUUCGACUUUUAAAAUUUUACAUGAUCUGAGUUUAAACCGGUGUGAGCCAGGUUGGUUUCUAUCUUUAAUUAGUUAAUACAUUUUAGUACGAAAGGACCGAAUGUAUAAUAAAUUAUUUUAUGUUUGAAUUCUAUUA
This 1277-nucleotide ribosomal RNA is filed under the name Agrypninae sp. GTI-132. RNAcentral's name for it is "16S ribosomal RNA". The stretch from base 1036 to 1194 matches the Rfam family "Archaeal large subunit ribosomal RNA", at positions 2542 to 2701 of the family's 2987-position model. The record is from RNAcentral. Lineage: Eukaryota; Metazoa; Arthropoda; Insecta; Coleoptera; Elateridae.